This 402-nucleotide ribosomal RNA is filed under the name bacterium. Its description in RNAcentral is "partial 16S ribosomal RNA". It matches the Rfam family "Bacterial small subunit ribosomal RNA", at positions 355 to 776 of the family's 1533-position model. The record is from RNAcentral.
UGGGGAAUUUUGCACAAUGGGGGAAACCCUGAUGCAGCGACGCCGCGUGAUUUAGAAGGCCUUCGGGUUGUAAAAAUCUUUUCUAUGGGAAGAAAAUGACAGUACCAUAGGAAUAAGGACCGGCUAAUUACGUGCCAGCAGCCGCGGUAAUACGUAAGGUCCGAGCGUUGUCCGGAAUCAUUGGGCGUAAAGGGUACGUAGGCGGGUAAGCAAGUUAGAAGUGAAAUCCUAUAGCUCAACUAUAGUAAGCUUUUAAAACUGCUCAUCUUGAGGUAUGGAAGGGAAAGUGGAAUUCCUAGUGUAGCGGUGAAAUGCGCAGAUAUUAGGAGGAAUACAGGUGGCGAAGGCGACUUUCUGGCCAUAACCAGACGCUGAGGUACGAAAGCGUGGGUAGCAAACAGG